CGCACAUUGCGCCCUUUGGUAUUCCGAAGGGCAUGCCUGUCCGAGCGUCAUUAUCACCUCUCAAGCCUGGCUUGCUGUUGGACCUCUGGUUAUACUUCGGUAUCACCGGUCCCAAAGAUAAUGACGGCGUCUGUGAGGACCCCAGUACACUGAGCUAUUUCUAGCACGUAUUAGGCGGAAAUCCAGGCCCGGUCUUACCCAUAUUUUAUCAAGGUUGACCUCGGAUCAGGUAGGAAUACCCGCUGAACUUAA
RNAcentral lists this unclassified non-coding RNA (252 nucleotides) under Cladophialophora sp. RNAcentral describes it as "partial contains 5.8S ribosomal RNA, internal transcribed spacer 2, and large subunit ribosomal RNA". Lineage: Eukaryota; Fungi; Ascomycota; Eurotiomycetes; Chaetothyriales; Herpotrichiellaceae. The record is from RNAcentral.